RNAcentral lists this ribosomal RNA (195 nucleotides) under [Candida] sp. RNAcentral's name for it is "Candida sp. (in: Saccharomycetales) partial large subunit ribosomal RNA". It matches the Rfam family "Eukaryotic large subunit ribosomal RNA", at positions 82 to 279 of the family's 3401-position model. Lineage: Eukaryota; Fungi; Ascomycota; Saccharomycetes; Saccharomycetales. RNAcentral also lists the same sequence under 1 other name. The record is from RNAcentral.
AGUAACGGCGAGUGAAGCGGCAACAGCUCAAAUUUGAAAUCUGGCGCAAGCCCGAGUUGUAAUUUGUAGAGGAUGUUUCGGGUACCGCCUCGGUUUAAAUUUCUUGGAACAGAAUGUCAAAGAGGGUGAGAAUCCCGUCUUGGACCGGCGGUAGGGCCCAUGUGAAACUCCUUCGACGAGUCGAGUUGUUUGGGA